Molecule: long non-coding RNA, 1431 nt
Filed under: Hordeum vulgare
Lineage: Eukaryota; Viridiplantae; Streptophyta; Magnoliopsida; Poales; Poaceae
Description: long non-coding RNA (HVUL_LNC000359)
Source: RNAcentral
AAACAAAUUGUCUUCAGCCCUACUUACUUAUAGGCUGACUUGGCCCAGGAAACAAGGUUCUAUUAGGCUUGCAGGGCUUAAAAAAGAAUGAGCUAGAUCGCAGGUAUUAGGAUACGAGGUAGUAGCAGGGUCUAGUCGAAGCGGUGCGCAAAGUGUACAAAGGCGAGUCUCACGGGCAGCGGCACGUGAGGGGUCUCCCGAACUUCAUGAAAGACGCAGUUAGGGAGUUGGAAGAUGCACUUUGGACUCCUGCACCAGUAAGAAUGGAACUGGAAUAAAAAGUCGGGAUAGCUAGUCACUCCGUUACUGAGGAAAGAGAGGAUGACAUUUCCAUAAGUAGACUCUCCUUACUGAAUCCUUAUCCUGCCCUCUCUACUCGGGAACAAUUCAUUCUUAACUCGUACAUAAGUUUCGGGCGUCGACAAGAGAGUUAGCGAUCUACAGCUGGUUCGGUGGACUGGUGGUGACACGGGCGGGCCCUCUACUUUAUUUGCCGAAUCCAAUCGAUCAUGGGCGGCCCUCUUCGUUCACAGUCUUUCUUUCCUUUCGAAUCCAAUUGUUCCAAUCUGACCAAAUAGCAAUUCAUUGAAAUCAUUCGGGUCACCUCUUUUUGAAGCACUUGACCAAGCCUAUUUUUAUAGAAAAGGACAGGAAUCUAUUGACUUUGAGUUUGUCUCCCACUACGAAAUUGGAACUGAACACAGGAUGGCAAUAGUGAGAAAAAAAUCCCCUCGUUCUACGUCAUUAUUUAUUCUAUUUUCCCUGGUAAGUGCUCCAGAUGCAGUUGCUUUAGUUGACGUAGUGAGCGGAACCUAAUUAUCUGUUUCCUUGAAUACCAGAGUUGCCUUUUGUAGAUGAGAAAGCCAACAAUUUUGCAAGGAGUUGAUAAUUGCACUUGAAGUAGUAAGUUUAAAGACAGUUGAAACUUAAUGGCACCGUUUAACCAAGCACUCUUGUAGCUUCGGAAACUCUGUGAUCAGAUCGGUGAGGCAAGAGACGAAUUCAUCGUCAAUUACCUCCACGAUAUCCAAAAUACCCUCCAGACCAUGAAGACAGAUAAUGAGAGUCAGGUUCAAACAAUUCAAGGAUUGUAAAUACCAUAACAGUAAAGUAGAAUGCACCAAAAUUUUCCUAUUACCGGUUCCAGGAAGAGCACACCAAAUGAAAGAAACUAUUACUCAAAAAGCGAAUCACAUCUCGAUCCACAAACCGCCAAAAGCCUUUGUUAUUCCAUUCCCAGUGGAACGUCAACCUGUUUAACAACAAUUUUCUAAGAAACUUGCUGAAUUCUAAAUGAAACAACCUUAUUUUCAAGUGACAGGCAAUAUCCAUUUCAACCAAUUAUUAAAGAUAAAAGGGCUAACUGCACAGCUAAUUGAAUUCCUUUUCGAGGUUGAGUUCAUCUUGAAACCGCAUUUGCUUCCUAAUUAA